This 494-nucleotide ribosomal RNA is filed under the name uncultured bacterium. RNAcentral describes it as "partial 16S ribosomal RNA". It matches the Rfam family "Bacterial small subunit ribosomal RNA", at positions 28 to 507 of the family's 1533-position model. The record is from RNAcentral.
GACGAACGCUGGCGGCGUGCUUAACACAUGCAAGUCGAACGGUGAAGCGCCUUCCUUUUUGGUGGGUGUGGAUGAGUGGCGAACGGGUGAGUAACACGUGAGUAACCUGCCCCCUUCUUCUGGAUAACCGCAUGAAAGUGUGGCUAAUACGGGAUAUUCUGGGUCUGUCGCAUGAUGGGUCUGGGAAAGAUAUUGUUUCGGUGGGGGAUGGGCUCGCGGCCUAUCAGCUUGUUGGUGGGGUGAUGGCCUACCAAGGCGGUGACGGGUAGCCGGCCUGAGAGGGUGGGCGGUCCCACAGCGGCUGCGCCACCGACCAGCCUACUACGGGAGGCAGCAGGGGGGAAUAUUGCACAAUGGGCGCAAGCAUGAUGCAGCGCCGCCGCGUGAGGGAUGGAGGCCUUCGGGUUGUGAACCUCUUUCGCCAGUGAAGCAGGGCUGCCUCGUUUGUGGGUGGGUUGACGGUAGCUAGAUAAGAAGCGCCGGCUAACUACGUG